UUUCAUGCCUCAACGAAACAGAGA
This 24-nucleotide non-coding RNA is filed under the name Arabidopsis thaliana (thale cress). Lineage: Eukaryota; Viridiplantae; Streptophyta; Magnoliopsida; Brassicales; Brassicaceae. The record is from RNAcentral.